Molecule: long non-coding RNA, 1162 nt
Organism: Gorilla gorilla gorilla (western lowland gorilla)
Lineage: Eukaryota; Metazoa; Chordata; Mammalia; Primates; Hominidae
Exons: 6
Source: RefSeq, a predicted model, not a curated record
GACGACCUGCCCUUCAGUGUUCCUGGAACAUCUUCUCCAAAGUGGAGGUCGAGCCAGGCCUAAGAGGAAAGAGAGGGCAACUGCGGACGACCCCACCGCAGAAGAGGUGAAACCGACGGGCUCCAGGGCUUUUUCACUCAUUCCCUAGGCAUGUGGGACCUCGAGGAUGCCUAAUCAGCUAACGGGAGGUGGCUUGAGUAGGAUUUGCUGCCAGCUAAAGCGUGAGAUGCUACUGCGUGUGCAAGGCAAGGCUUUCUUCAGCGGCAUCAUCUUCCAAAAUAGCCCAGGUGCCAUUCAUGCCACUGAUCUUUGUUGAGCUCCUACUGUAUGCCAGAUACGUCAGGACACAUUACUGCAAACAGAAACCUUGGUCUUCAUGGAGUGAGCAUGCCUUUCUCCUGAAAAAUAAAAAAUAGUUGGUGUUUACUGCAGUCGUAUGCCAAAUACUGUGUUGAGAGAUUAAUUUACAUGAACUCAUAGAACCCUCAGGACAAGUUUAUGAGAUUCCCUUAAGUUAUUCUGAUGCAGACCCAGGCCUAAGAACCACAGCCUCUCUGCCCACCACAUGAUGUCACCAUCCAUAAAACAUCUGCUCUCCAGCCUAAAUUUGCUCUCAGCUGAAAAGUAUUCUGUGCCCAUCACAUGUGAAGCCUGAAGCACGAUGCUGGUGCAGUGGACCCAACAAGAGCACCUUCCUCUCCCCGCCUUGCCCCUUGGAGACGAGGCUCAAGGCUGAAGAAUCAAGGUGAUCAUCACAACAGCAGUAGCCUCCUAAGCACUCUCUGCAGCUCCACCCCAACUUCCCCUCCAGGCUCUUCUCUUCACAGUGCCAUUCAUGCCACUGGUCUUUGUUGAGUUCCCACUAUAUGCCAGAUACGUCAGGACACAUUACUGCAAACAGACAGAAACCUUGGUCUUCAUGGAGAACUGAGAAGACUGUGGGAGGAAGACAAGGUACUCAGUUUGUGUUAUAGUAAGUUUAAGAUGCCUUUUGGAUGUUCCAGUGGAAUUGUCAAGUAAGUAGCUGGAUAUGGAAAGCAAGAGCUGGGAAAGGUCUAAGUUUGAGAUACAUAUGUGGGUGUCAGCAUCGUAGGGCCAUAGCACUGGACGACAUCACUGAGACAAGGGAUGCAGAUGGGAAAGAGAAAAUGUAACUCAUACC